GUGAAAUAGGGAUAGAAGCGGCAUCCUUUUUGUUCCUGGUCGAGACGUAGUUGACCAAGAACAAAAAGAUAAAGCGGAUAGCCCGGACCUUU
RNAcentral lists this small RNA (92 nucleotides) under Sphingobacterium sp. JB170. RNAcentral describes it as "Flavo-1 RNA". It matches the Rfam family "Flavo-1 RNA". The record is from Rfam by way of RNAcentral. Lineage: Bacteria; Pseudomonadati; Bacteroidota; Sphingobacteriia; Sphingobacteriales; Sphingobacteriaceae.